UAUGUAGAGUUUUGAUCAUCGAUGUGUAACAUGCCACAUCUAUGAGCAAGAGGCUACACAAUAUUUUAGGAAAAGUUAUCUCUUUCUUUCAUAAUCCAUCGUGCAUACAGUUAUUUCUCUCUACUAUUAAUUCAUGCUCUUUUAUAAUAGAAAAUGCCUCCCCAAAUAGCUAAUUCCCGUAGAAAUGAUAACCAGCAUUCUCAGCCUGUUGAUCCCC
RNAcentral lists this long non-coding RNA (217 nucleotides) under Capsicum annuum. RNAcentral's name for it is "long non-coding RNA (CANN_LNC002879)". Lineage: Eukaryota; Viridiplantae; Streptophyta; Magnoliopsida; Solanales; Solanaceae. The record is from RNAcentral.